This 103-nucleotide small nuclear RNA is filed under the name Castor canadensis (American beaver). The record is from RNAcentral. Lineage: Eukaryota; Metazoa; Chordata; Mammalia; Rodentia; Castoridae.
GUGCUGCAGCAGCACAUAUACUAAAAUUGGAAUGAUACAGAGAAGAUUAGCAUGGCCCCUGAAUGAGGAUGACACACAAACUUGUGAAGCUUUCCAUACUAAA